GACAUGGCAGUGUGGUCUAGCCUAACGGUUAGUACUGUAUUUGUUGUGUCUUUCCUUCUGGCUAGCCAGCAUGUCCUUUACUGGAUGUGCUGGGGAACCAGGACUUUUACUGUGAAAAAAUUAGAGUGUUUAAAGCAGGCGACCGCUUGAAUACAUUAGCAUGGAAUAAUAGAAUAGGACUUUGGUUUUAUUUUGUUGGUUUCUAAGACCGAAGUA
Molecule: ribosomal RNA, 216 nt
Filed under: uncultured fungus
Lineage: Eukaryota; Fungi
Description: partial small subunit ribosomal RNA
Rfam family: Eukaryotic small subunit ribosomal RNA (bases 29-216)
Source: RNAcentral